GGAAUAGUAGCGAAGUGGCUUAACGCAAUGCUGACGAGUAUUUUCGGGGGUUCGAAUCCCUCUUAUUCCUGCA
Molecule: transfer RNA, 73 nt
Filed under: Bacillus cereus
Lineage: Bacteria; Bacillati; Bacillota; Bacilli; Caryophanales; Bacillaceae
Description: tRNA-OTHER
Rfam family: tRNA
About the family: Transfer RNA (tRNA) molecules are approximately 80 nucleotides in length. Their secondary structure includes four short double-helical elements and three loops (D, anti-codon, and T loops).
Source: RNAcentral